AUUUCAUCCUAAUACAAGGUUGAUGGCCGAUAAUCUUCUCAUCUAAAAGCUUAAGCUGUUAGAGAGGGGCCCUUUUAGAUCAAAGGUCUAAGACAUGCACAAUUUUCAUGAAAGGAUGGUGUUUGAGACUUGAGCCCAGGACUUAUCCCAGCACUAACCACCUCAUCUUAAAAAUUAAGUUGCUGGAGAGGGGCCACAGGUAUUUUGCUUAAAACUUA
RNAcentral lists this long non-coding RNA (218 nucleotides) under Olea europaea subsp. europaea. Lineage: Eukaryota; Viridiplantae; Streptophyta; Magnoliopsida; Lamiales; Oleaceae. The record is from RNAcentral.